AUGGCCAGCUUCGCCUCCCAGCUCCUGGAUGUGUUCUACGACCUCGUCGAGCGCGUCACCGGCUACAGCGUCCGCCCCGACGACGACAAUGAUGCACAGAAGCCCAGCAAGUUGGCAUUUGUGGAGAAGUUCCAGACCGAAGAAGUAGUCGAGAUCAGGUCCAGGAAUCUCCCGGUGUCGGGGGGCUCAGGCGCCCAGAGAGGGAUUGCUCAAGUGGAAACAGAUCAAGAACCAGAAGGAGCUCAAGAUUUUGCUACUUCCUUGGUAAUAGCUUUUAAAGUUCGAUUUUCCAGCAGCGAGGUAACUACUACCGGUGGAGAUCGAACUAAUGAGCUCACGAAAAAAAACUAUAGACAUCAAACAGCGAAGGAGGUUAGUUUUUACCUGAGUGGAAACAGUAGCUGUAUCGUCUUGCUAGAGCCUCCUUUGUCAUGGAAAGUCACCAGCUUCAGGGAGUGCCAGCACAGCCGGGACAGACGCCACCUACGGUGGGGAGUGACAGUGGCAACUGCGCGGAUUUGGCUCACCCAUAUGAGAAACGGCGGCGCCAUCUACCGAUUUUGUGGCUCUGAGCUCCAGCGGGAGCUGCUGGGCCGUCGGGAUGCAGAUGGAGCCGCUGCAACUCCGAGCUGCCGGGCCACCGAGAUGCAAAUGGAGCCGCAGCGCCACCGAGCUGCAGCGGGAGCUGCUCCACCGCCAAGUUGCAGUGUGAGCCACCGCGAUGAUGGAACCCAAGGUGCCCUCGUCCGCCUCCUCCAUCUGCUUCCUCACUUCACUUCAGUACGAGUACAGGGGAGAGGAAUGGGACGAAGACUGGUGGAUGGAAUCAAGACCAGCGGUCAUGCGAGACACGUGGUAGGCAUUGUGCUACAUGGUGGCAGCUCGUGAAGCAACAAUUGACGUGUGUUGUUGUCUCUCAGCACGUGUAUCUUGAGGGCAUGAUUGUAGUUUUCUUUAUCUUUGAGGUCUGUGAUGUUACUCAAACUGUCAGCCUUUUGGUUUCUGAUUUUAAUGAAAGCAGGGAGGCCCUCCUUGGGGCGCUUGAGUUUAAAAAAAAGACUAGCAAUCAACCACGGGGAAGAAGAUUAGGACAGAGCUGCAACAGAUAGAUUAGGGCAUAAUUGCAAUAGAUGUAGGCCCAUAUAGCGGCUAUGCUGGACAACAAGGUCGUUUUCAAUGAUGAUGACACGUGCAGCAAUAGCUGAAUUAAUGUUCAUCACUUCAAUGCGCCGAUAUGAUGUUUGUCUGGCUAUCUACUUUCCUUGCUAAUAACAUUGUAAAUAAUCAAUCGUAAGCUUGUUAAAACAUUA
Molecule: non-coding RNA, 1310 nt
Organism: Aegilops tauschii subsp. strangulata
Lineage: Eukaryota; Viridiplantae; Streptophyta; Magnoliopsida; Poales; Poaceae
Source: RefSeq, a predicted model, not a curated record